Molecule: unclassified non-coding RNA, 345 nt
Filed under: soil metagenome
Description: partial contains 5.8S ribosomal RNA, internal transcribed spacer 2, and large subunit ribosomal RNA
Rfam family: 5.8S ribosomal RNA (bases 1-120)
Source: RNAcentral
GAUGAAGAACGUAGCAAAAUGCGAUAAUUAAUGUGAAUUGCAGAAUUCAGUGAAUCAUCGAGUCUUUGAACGCACAUUGCGCCCCCUGGUAUUCCGGGGGGCAUGCCUGUCCGAGCGUCAUUGCUGCCCUCAAGCACGGCUUGUGUGUUGGGCCUCCGUCCUCCUCCCGGGGGACGGGCCCGAAAGGCAGCGGCGGCACCGCGUCCGGUCCUCGAGCGUAUGGGGCUUCGUCACCCGCUCUUGUAGGCCCGGCCGGCGCUUGCCGACACAUCAAUCUUUUUUCCAGGUUGACCUCGGAUCAGGUAGGGAUACCCGCUGAACUUAAGCAUAUCAAUAAGCGGAGGA